GCGGAACUGGCGGAAUUGGUAGACGCGCAUGAUUCAGGUUCAUGUGGUGCAAACCUUCCGGGUUCGAGUCCCGGGUUCCGCA
Molecule: transfer RNA, 82 nt
Filed under: Oscillatoriales cyanobacterium SM2_1_8
Lineage: Bacteria; Bacillati; Cyanobacteriota; Cyanophyceae; Oscillatoriales
Description: tRNA-Leu
Rfam family: tRNA
About the family: Transfer RNA (tRNA) molecules are approximately 80 nucleotides in length.
Source: RNAcentral